CCUGGGGCUGGAGAAGGUCCCAAGGGUUCGGCUGUUCGCCGAUUAAAGUGGCACGCGAGCUGGGUUCAGAACGUCGUGAGACAGUUCGGUCCCUAUCUGUGGUGGGCGUAGGAAGUUUGAGAGGCUCUGAUUUUAGUACGAGAGGACCGAAUUGGACUGACCGCUGGUGUAUCUGUUGUCUUGCCAAGGGCACGGCAGAGUAGCUAAGUCGGGACGGGAUAAACGCUGAAAGCAUCUAAGUGUGAAACCCACCUCAAGAUGAGACUUCCCUUGAGGAACGUUAGAGAUUAUGACGUAGAUAGGCUACAGGUGGAAGUGCAGUAAUGUAUGCAGCCGAGUAGUACUAAUGAACCGAGAGCUCUUAAAUUU
RNAcentral lists this ribosomal RNA (369 nucleotides) under Lacihabitans sp. LS3-19. Its description in RNAcentral is "partial 23S ribosomal RNA". It matches the Rfam family "Bacterial large subunit ribosomal RNA", at positions 2546 to 2925 of the family's 2925-position model. Lineage: Bacteria; Pseudomonadati; Bacteroidota; Cytophagia; Cytophagales; Leadbetterellaceae. The record is from RNAcentral.